CUGGAUUCUAAAAGUAGUGUAUCAGUUCAGAGGUCAGGUGAUUUGGCCAGUGAAAGGGCAAGGCUUGGACAAGUGAUCAUUAGUCAUGCUGUCAGAGAACCAUUUCUUUCUCCUGCAAUAGGCAGCAUGGAGAACAGCUUCUUUUCAUCCACCUAGUCCCAUUCCAUCUCCUUAGUGAACAUCUGCUGUAGGGACCUGCAGUCUCUGUUUAUGGCAAGGACUUUCUGAAUAUUGAAUCAUCUUUCACAUUCUACAGAAGUCACAGAAGCCAACACACAACUCCAGAGUUAAACAUAUUAAACCCCUGUCAUCAGAGAGAACUUUCAAAAAAUCUUGAGAUGGGACCCAUUGGCUCAGACUGAGUCAGAUGUCUACCCUUGGACCAAUCAACUGUGGUCUCUGUGAAUGUAGGCUACUAUUAUUGCCCUAUUUGAGUUUUCUUCCCACUCAUGAGCCAAUCAACUCUAGACAGAAAAGGGAAUGAUCUGAAGCUUGGAAGUUCUCACAGGAACCCUAUAAAUGAAGAAGAGGACAGGACAUGUUUUAAGACAAAGAAAAACGCUAUGCAACCAAAAUACAUCUACUACAAUAACAGUGAUUAUUAAAAAGUCAUUUAAUUUCUCUAAGCCUCAAUUUUCUCUUCUCUAAAAGUGUAUGAAUUGUCUAUUGCUAUGGAUAUGUAUCAAAUAAGAUACUUUAAAAGUUUUAAAUGACAAACUUCUAUACAGUUCUAAAAGGUUGCUCUGAUUAUUACACUGGUGUCACCAAAGUGGUUUCUAGAUUCUAUUUCUGCAGAGCUUUCAUUUGUAAAAUUGGAAUGAUUUUCUCUACUUUUUAUGGUUAUGGACUAAUUAAAGAGAAAUAUCUACCAUUUAUUUAUUGAUGGUUUAAUAUAUAUUAUGGUAGGAGGUUUGCACAUAUUUCCUUUUUUAAUUUUCACCACAGUCCUAUAAACUAGAUAGUCUUACCAAGCAUACUGUAAUGUAAACAGGUUAAGAUGAUUAAGUUCCUAACAUGAAUUAGUGUCAGAGAGAGGAUUUAAAUCAGGUCUGAGUGAUUCCGUGAUUCCAAAGGCAAGGUGGGGAUUUUAAAGAGCCAUACAAUAACACUCUUAUGUGUUAUAAUUUUAUUGUUCAUUUUUAUAAUUCAAUUAUAAUUGGUUUAUUUCUGAG
This 1172-nucleotide long non-coding RNA is filed under the name Homo sapiens (human). RNAcentral's name for it is "HSALNT0349036". The record is from RNAcentral. Lineage: Eukaryota; Metazoa; Chordata; Mammalia; Primates; Hominidae.